Molecule: ribosomal RNA, 471 nt
Filed under: uncultured bacterium
Lineage: Bacteria
Description: bacterial SSU rRNA
Rfam family: Bacterial small subunit ribosomal RNA
Source: RNAcentral
ACUCCUACGGGAGGCAGCAGUGGGGAAUAUUGCACAAUGGGGGAAACCCUGAUGCAGCCAUGCCGCGUGUGUGAAGAAGGCCUUGGGUUGUAAAGCACUUUCAGUAGGGAGGAAGGUAGUGUAGUUAACACCUGCAUUAUUUGACGUUACCUACAGAAGAAGCACCGGCUAACUCCGUGCCAGCAGCCGCGGUAAUACGGAGGGUGCGAGCGUUAAUCGGAAUUACUGGGCGUAAAGCGCAUGCAGGCGGCCUGUUAAGUCAGAUGUGAAAGCCCGGGGCUUAACCUCGGAAUUGCAUUUGAAACUGGCAGGCUAGAGUCUUGUAGAGGGGGUAGAAUUUCAGGUGUAGCGGUGAAAUGCGUAGAGAUCUGAAGGAAUACCAGUGGCGAAGGCGGCCCCCUGGACAAAGACUGACGCUCAGAUGCGAAAGCGUGGGAGCAAACAGGAUUAGAUACCCCUGGUAGCGACUGA